UGGAUGGAUGGAUGGAUGGAUGCAUGAAUGCAUGGAUGCAUGGAUGCAUGAAAGAAUGAAGGAAAGAAAGAAGGAAAGAAAGAAAGAAAGCCUGUCCCUUACUAAUGACAGAAAUGUGUUUGCGUGAUGUAACUGUAUUCCUCCGGUUGGUCGAGGUGACAGUCUGGGGAACAUCUACAGCUUCUCGCUAUGAAACCAAUUAAAAAGAAAAACGUGCAAAGACAAAGUGAAUUUGUAUAAAUCACAUUUAUUCUAAUCUAAUAUACAUUUACGUUUAUUAGACAAAACAACCAAUAAUUCCAAUUUUCCUAUUGAAUUUUCCAUUAUUUAUAAGCAAUUUGUAACCAUAACAAACAGAAUAUUGACUUUAAACAAUGAAUUUAUAAUAAUUAGGGCUUGAUGGUGAUACAUUUCCAUAAGGCAGGUGCACAGAGACUACAGACUGAUACUAUAAUAAUAUUUGGUCGGAGCAGCAUUGAUGCCUGAUUUCACAAAUCCAGAUGAGGCAUCAUUAGAUAUGCAGGAAGCUUGACAGCCAACAUGUUACAUUAUUCAUCCUUGGAACAUUUUCCCCUCCGUGCUACGUCUGUUGACACACGGAGACACAGAAAAAUGUGUCUACAAAAUUCCUUUUUCAUUUUGGCGGCAAUGACAUGAUAUGCAAAUGUUUGGGGAUGUAAAUGAACAUUGGUCAACUGAAUUUAAAUGGUGAUAUUAUGGUGCACAAAUGUUUUGGAGGUUCAAAUCAGAAUCAAAGCAGCUCCCAGACAGAUCUAAUGAAACUUCCUGCAGUAGGAAUGUUUGGUGCGUGCAUGUACAGGUUAUGAUAUAGGUCUCUAAUUAUUACUGGUGAAAUCACCAGGCUCAGAUUUGAUAGUUAGCUGACAGUCUGACCUUUUUUCAGUUGUCACGCUGUCCAACCAUCAGAAACAACCUGACCUUCACUAGAUGGUACCAUCAGAAGACUGCUUCCAGGACUUUUAAUCUAAACAUUUCCUUUCAAAUACCGUAUUUUCCAGAGUAUGAGUCGCACCAGCCAUAAAAUGUAUAAUGAAGAAGAAAAAAACUUAUAUAAGUCGCACUGGACUAUAAGUCGCAUUUUGGGGAAAAAUUUUAUUACUUUUCUUACAAAAUCUGAGACCAAGCGUUUCACAUUGCAAGACAAGUACCGGUAACAGUAACGGAAUAAACAACCAGGGUGCAGCAGCAUGCCACGGUCUCCAGCAGAGGAUAGCAGUGUUUCAAACCCUCCCAGCGGGAUGGGGAGCUCAUUCCUGGGUCGGAGCCGGCCCGCAGCAGGGCGGUAUACAUAAUUUGGUACAUAAGUCGCAGGACCAGCCAGACUAUGAAAAAAGUGCGACUUAUAGUCUGGAAAAUACGGUAAACAUUAAACCCGUUUCCACUACCGGAGCCGCCGGGUAACUUUACCGGACAUGCACAUGUCUCCACUUCACCGGGCCAGCCCAAAAGGCACUUUUCCGGGCCAAUCGAAGACCUGAACUGGGAUAUAGGGAGCAAUCUUUGAUACCGCUGCUGUCUCUCUUUCUGUCGUGAACUCAAAAUUAACCAUUUAGAUGAACGCAAGUCCAUGGGGCUAAAAACGUUUUUUUCUAUUUCCGUUUGUUACGUGCCAAGGGUUUCACAUAUGAUGUUCAUGAAUUUUGAAGACACAUUCUGAUGCCAAGAAAGUGAUUAUUUUCAAACUGGGGCAAAGAUUAUUUUAGGUUUUGUGUGAAAAUACAUCCAGGUCGACAAACGCGCAUCACCAAAGCGACGUCAUUGGACCAGACAGGAGAAGAGUGGUGAAAAAAGCCACUAAGUUUUGCGAGCUUUGAAUCCUUUUGGGAGGAAAGAACCACCAUAAAUCUGGCCAUGUGGUAUGUAGCAGCUACGCUGGUGGAGAGGAGAUCCUGUGGUGACGUCUUAUAUCCAACAAGCUGACUUCUGAUGUGUUGUUAUAGCAAUUAUGAAUCUUUACGAGCUAAUCAAUUUCAUGUCUGGCAUGGUCAAAACGCAUCAUUACUUUUCAUUUAAAUUAGGGCAGAUACCGAUACCAGUAUUGGUGUUGGUAAAAGUUAACAGAUACCAAUGCAGUGGCCUGAAAGUGGCUUCACUGUAACUCAUCAUUUCUGUUCACCUAAUAUUUUAGUUUUGUUAUCAUUUAUAAUAAUAUUAUUUAUUAUUAUUUUUAAUUUACCUCACAGUCUUUUCCUGUAGAAAGCAGAGAAGAAAAUAAAACUUGUAUUCUGAUUCAUUAAAUUUUUUUGUGUGGUAAAAGUAUCGGUAUCGGCGAGUACUCAGAUCAAAGUUUCGGAAUCAGAUAGCGAUGGGUACCGAAUUCGGUACUUUUUAAGGCACUGACCGAAUUCCAUAGUACCGACUGAGCACCGAUUCACGUCAUUUGAAACGGUGCCUCGUUUCGGUACCCGUCCUUCAUAACGAGAACUUGCCUAGACAGCUGCGCAUGCGCAAGAGCGUUAUGUCGUCGGUCGCUGCGAGCCAGUUGUAAACAGAGCAGCAUGGUAGAAAGAACGCACGCUAAAGCUUGGAUCCACUUCACUAAAUGUGAUGGGUAACUGGGUGAUGAUGAAACCAGCGACAACGAUCUAAGUGAGACAUCCUCAUCUUAAUCUGCUCCGGUAGGUAAAUAAAAUGUUUAAGAUAACGUUAGCUUGAUAUGUUAGCUUCCGUUCCGCUAAUGGUACGUUCGUUUUCUCCUUGGAACUCCGAAUUUCCGACUGGAAGAACAUGAACGCGCUCUAAAGUUUGGCUUCACUUUACUAAAUGCGACGGGUGAUUGGGUGAAGAUGAAACCAGCGACAACGAUCUAAGUGUGAGGCAUCAUCGUUUUAAUCUGCUCCAGCAGCUAAAUAAACUGUUUAAGAUAACGUUAGCUUGAUAUGUUAGCUUCCAUUGCCACCGUUGUUAUCAGCUAAUGGUGCGUUCGCUUUCCCCUCGGAAAUUCUAACUUCCCAUUAGGAAAAAUCUAAUGAAAAAGGACGGCAAAAGGAAUGAAGAUACACAGUAAAUUUAGUUCACAGUAAAGAUGUUUGCUUCAGUUUAAUUAUCAGCUUAUAAAACUACAAGGACAAUGUUAAAAUUUAAACAGUUGUAUGUUAUUUAUCGUGAUAUUUAUCAAAUAUGGUUAUAUAUUGAGAAAAAUAUACAUUUAAUUAUAAAAGAGAAUUAAAAUAUUAAACACUCAAAAGUAUCUAAAAUUGGUACCAUUAAGUACCGGUAUCGAUUCCUAGGUACCGGGAAUUAGUACCAAAUCGAUUCAAAUGUCAAAGGUACCCAUCCCUAGUAUCAGAUCGGUUUGGACAAAAGUGGUAUUGGUGCAUCCCCAAUUUAAAUAGAACAUAUGUGUGAUUCAGGGCGUAAGGCAAAGCAGAUUUGAAAAUAGCUCUUCCACCGCGUUCACUUGCAUUAAUGUUUCUGUUCUUCCGAGGAGCCAUGAACCGACCGGAAAGGGAGGAGACUUAGGGCCGUGAUUAGAGCUGAAACAACUAAUCGAUUUAAUCGAUUAUAAUCGAUUAUUAAAAUAGUUAACAACUUUUUUAGUCAUCGAUUAGUUGUUUAAUAAUCAUAUUUUACCGCAUUAAGUCUAUUUUUACCACAAUCUGACAUCGGUUACAAGCUGUUAAAUUUGCCGCCAGUGUGUGGCAGUAAUGAGCCACUGAUCUACCAGUGGAGCCGUAGAAGAAGAAAUGAGCCAAUGAGUGCCCUCGGUUUUCAUGACGUAUCACGUUACUGACGCUCAUCUUGCUGUGAGAGAUGGCGGAACAAGAGGAAAUACGGAAGAAAAAUAGAAGCGACAAAAUUUUAGAGAAACCCCGGACAAAAACCUCACGAGUAUGGGAGCACUUCACUAGAUGCAUUGAAAAGGCAAAAUAUGCAAAAACCAUCUAGCAUGGCACGGAAGCACGACGUCCCUAAGUGAACAUUUGAGACGAAAACGUGGGGGCUGAGGAAGAGCACCGCGGUCAAGUGAGCCGUCAUUUGGAAGAGCCAGCCCGAAAAAAAACAAGCAACGAUGGACAACUACAUGGGGAAAGAGACACUCACCCCCCAGCAAUUCAUACCACUUACAAACUCUAUUCUAAACAUGCUGGUAAAAGACAUGAGGCCACUAUCCAUGGUGGAAGGAGCAGGCUUCCAGCUAAUGCUAAAAAAUUAUUCUGGACUGAUAUUUUGCACUGUUUAGCUCAUUUUAUACUGCUGACUGUGUUCAUGUGCAAUAAAAUAGAUUGCAGUCAACUGCACAA
This is a long non-coding RNA of Nothobranchius furzeri (turquoise killifish), 4265 nucleotides long. RefSeq lists it as uncharacterized. NCBI's taxonomy places the organism in Eukaryota, Metazoa, Chordata, Actinopteri, Cyprinodontiformes, Nothobranchiidae. The record is from RefSeq and is a predicted model, not a curated record.